AUUUUGCCAACGUGGGUAGUGACCCCAGCAACAAAAUGGGUCAAACACAUUGUACUAUCGCCUUUAAAAACAUCAACACACAAGUGAAAAAUUGUGGAUUCUGUAAGGUAACAUAAGAAUUGAAAAACACUAAAUAUUUUAAUUUAUUUUUAACUCACAUAGUGAUUCUUCAUUGACGUUGUAUAAGUUGGCUUGCUGCCGACGUUUCCGAGGACCAUACUUCCUGUAUCAUCAGGAUGGAAGUGAGGAGCCAAUAUCAUGAGAUUCAUCCUUCUAUCAGUACAGGAAACAAUAUAUGCAGUUUGAUAUGAAUUCACGUGUAACCUGCCCACAUAUCCGAUACAAAACGGUGGUAAAGGAUAUAGAACGUCUCUACCAAUUACAAGCUUUAAUAUACACAUACAUAUGACGAUCUCAAGAGAUUCAGCAUUCCUCAACAUUUAUUAAGAGUAACCAUGAAUUUAUCUUGAAGUACUUGAAAGCUUACUAGAUGGCUACUUACCGCAAAUUUAAAGAAUACUGGGUAACGUGACAAACAUCAAACAGAGAAAAAUACGUCUUAACCCUAUAGCAUAUAUAUCACCAAACUACUAUUCUCAUACAUUAUUACAUCAUUUAUGUAUAGAGAAACAGAACUUAUCUGGACGGAAAAUAAUGGUACAAAUACAACCAAAAUCUGACGGAAAAUAACGGUACAAAUACAACCAAAAUCUGACAAGUCACAGCAAAUAAAAGGACACUGAUAUGCUAAGAGAGUAACAAAAGCCAUGAAUGGCUUUAUAUGAAACAACUUGUGGGUCUAAAGACCAAAAAUUCAGGAGGCGAGAAUUAUCUCUUCCACAAAAUUCUGGCGAAUAAUUUCAAUUUGUAUUCACUUUCCAUCAAGCACUAAAUUUAUAAUUCGAUUUUACAAUUUCACUCUUGUGGAAUAAUUGCGGCAUUUGUUAAUUUAGCCCGUCAAAUCUGAGGUACAUGGGAGUAUAAAAACAAUACGCAUUAUGUCUUUUUAUGUAAAGGGCAGACGAUGACAUCAACGUGCCCAUAAAAGAGAGAACACAAUAGUGGCUUACACUGUGAGCCUCUUAGGGUAAUAGAAAUCAUAACAAAAUACCUAAUUCUAUCCUAUUCUAUGAAACAAAGAAAAUGGAACAAAAGAAAAAUUUUCACUGUAUGAAUAACAGAGACAGCUAACAGAAAUUUAACUAUUAAACUGAAGCAUUAUAUUUUCAACCUUACAAAUAACGGAUUAAUUCUGCAUAUCCUGCUACAUCCUUUCACCAGCAAUUUAUUUCUAAAAGUAAAUUCGAAAGCAGUUACUAAUGAAAUGAUGUAGCAUGUACUUCAGUAUCGUGAGGCUGAUCAAAAGCAAAAGGUUAGCCUUGCUUGGCCAUGUUGCAAGAAUGGAAGGAAACAGGGCAACUAGAAGAGUGAUGGAAUGGAGACCGAUGGGAAGAAGGAUGAGAGGGAUACCACGGAAAUGAUGGAUAGAUGAUGUGGAGGAUGUGAGGACAAUGGGAGUGAGGGGAUGGAGAAGAAUUGUGAAUGAUAGGACAGAAUGGAAAAAACUAGUCGAACAAGUUAAGACCCACAUAGGGUUAUAAGGCUACAAGAAAAAUAAGAAGAGAAUGUACUUCAGUAAUUUCUUGGGGAAGUUUAGUGAAUGUUUCUUCACCUACUUUGCCUGUAUCGAAUUUUGUGUGAAUGUACUGAUGACAUUUUGUCUGUUGAUGAAGAGAGGAUAAGGAUAAAACCUAAGUUUGUAUAUAAGUAAUGUUGCAAUGGGUAGGAAUGACUUGAAAAAAACAUUUCGGCCCUAUUUACUGUAAACAGAAACACAAAUAAAGAGGUACUUAAAAUCCUUUUGGAAAAUU
This is a non-coding RNA of Zootermopsis nevadensis, 1871 nucleotides long. The record is from RefSeq and is a predicted model, not a curated record. Lineage: Eukaryota; Metazoa; Arthropoda; Insecta; Blattodea; Termopsidae.